This is a long non-coding RNA of Coregonus clupeaformis (lake whitefish), 1107 nucleotides long. RefSeq lists it as uncharacterized. The record is from RefSeq and is a predicted model, not a curated record. NCBI's taxonomy places the organism in Eukaryota, Metazoa, Chordata, Actinopteri, Salmoniformes, Salmonidae. The transcript has 7 exons.
AAAGGGUCUGAAUACUCAUGUAAAUAAGAGUUCCCAAUUGUCUUGAAAGCACCAUAAAUCCAGAGAAUGCCAGACUUUGAUGCCAAAGUUUGUCCACAAAGGACCGCCACGCCACCUUCCUGUUCAAGUGAGCACAGCACAACAAGUCCCUGCUGCUCCCGUGCCCUUCGAUGCUCUUCAGGAAAGUCAGCUCUUUGAUACAGAGAACUCAGAGCCUCUGAUCCCCAUCGGAGGGCGCUAUUUAUCCACCAACGGCCAGCCCAGAACCAGGAGCCCCCAGGAGAUCGCAGUACCACCGAACCCCACACGGAGGCACUAAUGGCACAGUGCAGCCCCCACAACGCCACAGACACAGAGGGACAGAGGCCUCCAUCAUCUUUGGGGAUGAAAGCAGCUCCUCUGACCACAGUGACUUGGAAAGCUCCGUCAGCCCUCUGCGGGCUGUCUGCCCACGCCUACGUUUCCCAGCAGCCCUCACUCCACAGGAAGUGCCCCCAGUCAGGAAACAAGCUCUUCUGUUCUUGAAGCGAGAUAAGCUGCAGCCCUCUCUGUCUUCGGGAAGAAGGAGUACAACAGUGCCAAGACCCGCCUCCCAGAACCAGUUCCGGUGUUGUCCAAUAGCAGGCCAGCGCUUGUUCCUGAGGAUGAAUAUCUGAUAGACGAUUGGCUGGAGGAUGACAUGUUCAGCCAAAGAAGAAGAGGAGAGCGGGGGAGGAGCAGGAUGGAAGCUGGGACUUGACUACGAUGUAAUCAGGGGCCAGGAGUCAGAACCGUCACUCAACCAAGACUGAGAUGGCUAGCAGAGUGUCGUCGUCUACCAUUAGGGGUUUCUCACUGAGGAAGACCGACAACGACCCCCGAUCUUCCACGCCGCCCCAGAACCACCACAGCACUCAGCAGGUCAGAGAGAUCAACCUAACAACCCGCUGCCUGUAGCAACACCACCUCCUACUGGCCAGCACCUUGGCAGGCACAGGGCACCUGAAGGCAGUGAAUCUGUCCCAUAAUGCCCUGGGCUCUAUGGGCUUUGAGUUGGUCCUGAAGACUCUGCCUCUCCACUGUCUCACACACCUCGAUCUGGCUGCCAUCCGCUGUGGACCCGCUGAC